UGCCAGCCGCCGCGGUAAUACGGAGGGUGCAAGCGUUAUCCGGAUUUAUUGGGUUUAAAGGGUUCGCAGGCGGAAAAUUAAGUCAGUGGUGAAAGCCUACAGCUCAACUGUAGAACUGCCAUUGAUACUGAUUUUCUUGAGUGUAGUUGAAGUGGGCGGAAUGUGUCAUGUAGCGGUGAAAUGCAUAGAUAUGACACAGAACACCGAUAGCGAAGGCAGCUCACUAAACUAUUACUGACGCUCAUGAACGAAAGCGUGGGGAGCGAACAGGAUUAGAUA
Molecule: ribosomal RNA, 279 nt
Filed under: uncultured bacterium
Lineage: Bacteria
Description: partial 16S ribosomal RNA
Rfam family: Bacterial small subunit ribosomal RNA
Source: RNAcentral